This 346-nucleotide ribosomal RNA is filed under the name uncultured bacterium. Its description in RNAcentral is "partial 16S ribosomal RNA". It matches the Rfam family "Bacterial small subunit ribosomal RNA", at positions 338 to 681 of the family's 1533-position model. The record is from RNAcentral.
CCUACGGGGGGCAGCAGUGAGGAAUAGUGGUCAAUGGACGAGAGUCUGAACCAGCCAAGUAGCGUGAAGGAUGACUGCCCGAUGGGUUGUAAACUGCUUGUAUAUGGGAAUAAAAUGUGCCACGUGUGGGAUUUUGUAUGUACCAUAUGAAUAAGGAUCGGCUAACUCCGUGCCAGCAGCCGCGGUAAUACGGAGGAUCCGAGCGUUAUCCGGAUUUAGUGGGUUUAAAGGGAGCGUAGGGGGAUUGUUAAGUCCGUUGUGAAAGUUUGCGGCUCAACCGUGAAAUUGCAGUUGAAACUGGCAGUCUUGCUUACAGUACCGGUGGGCGCAAUUCGUGGUGUAGCGG